GACGAACGCUGGCGGCGUGCUUAACACAUGCAAGUCGAACGGAAAGGCCCGGCUUUUGUGGGGUGCUCGAGUGGCGAACGGGUGAGUAACACGUGAGUAACCUGCCCUUUACUUUGGGAUAACUUCAGGAAACUGGGGCUAAUACCGGAUAGGAGCUCCUGCUGCAUGGUGGGGGUUGGAAAGUUUCGGCGGUUGGGGAUGGACUCGCGGCUUAUCAGCUUGUUGGUGGGGUAGUGGCUUACCAAGGCUUUGACGGGUAGCCGGCCUGAGAGGGUGACCGGCCACAUUGGGACUGAGAUACGGCCCAGACUCCUACGGGAGGCAGCAGUGGGGAAUAUUGCACAAUGGGCGGAAGCCUGAUGCAGCAACGCCGCGUGCGGGAUGACGGCCUUCGGGUUGUAAACCGCUUUCGCCUGUGACGAAGCGUGAGUGACGGUAAUGGGUAAAGAAGCACCGGCUAACUACGUG
Molecule: ribosomal RNA, 468 nt
Filed under: uncultured bacterium
Lineage: Bacteria
Description: partial 16S ribosomal RNA
Rfam family: Bacterial small subunit ribosomal RNA
Source: RNAcentral